AUCUGAAUAGCUCAGUCAGUACAGCAUGAGAAUCUUAAUCUCAGGGUUGUGGGUUCAGGACCCGUGUUGGGUG
Molecule: non-coding RNA, 73 nt
Organism: Podarcis lilfordi (Lilford's wall lizard)
Lineage: Eukaryota; Metazoa; Chordata; Lepidosauria; Squamata; Lacertidae
Source: the annotation of a GenBank genome assembly